Small nuclear RNA from Dermacentor silvarum, 185 nucleotides. RefSeq annotates it as U2 spliceosomal RNA. The record is from RefSeq and is a predicted model, not a curated record. The transcript has a single exon. Lineage: Eukaryota; Metazoa; Arthropoda; Arachnida; Ixodida; Ixodidae.
AUGGCCGACGCGGGCCAAAGUGUAGUAUCUGUUCUUAUCAGCUUAAUAUCUGAUAUGGGUUGUAUAUAUAUGGACCCAAGAUAUUAAACUUAUUUUUGCAAGCUGGCGGAGUCCUAGAAGCCUGUUUCACCUCCGCGCACACUUGUGCUCGGUAUUGCACAAUCAUCGGGAUUUUUGGUCUACGG